GCCUGGGUGGCUCAGUCAGUUAAGCGUCUGACUUCGACUCAGGUCAUGAUCUCAUGGUUUGUGGAUUCAAGCCCCACAUCAGGCU
Molecule: transfer RNA, 85 nt
Organism: Felis catus (domestic cat)
Lineage: Eukaryota; Metazoa; Chordata; Mammalia; Carnivora; Felidae
Rfam family: tRNA
About the family: Transfer RNA (tRNA) molecules are approximately 80 nucleotides in length.
Source: Rfam